This 484-nucleotide ribosomal RNA is filed under the name uncultured bacterium. RNAcentral describes it as "partial 16S ribosomal RNA". It matches the Rfam family "Bacterial small subunit ribosomal RNA", at positions 30 to 507 of the family's 1533-position model. The record is from RNAcentral.
AUUGAACGCUGGCGGAAUACUUUACACAUGCAAGUCGAACGAUGAACCUUAGCUUGCUAAGGGGAUUAGUGGCGAACGGGUGAGUAAUAUAUCGGAACGUGCCUUGUAAUGGGGGAUAACUAGUCGAAAGAUUAGCUAAUACCGCAUACGCUCUGAGGGGGAAAGUAGGGGAUCUUCGGACCUAACGUUAUAAGAGCGGCCGAUAUCUGAUUAGCUAGUUGGUGGGGUAAUGGCCUACCAAGGCGACGAUCAGUAGCUGGUCUGAGAGGACGACCAGCCACACUUGAACUGAGACACGGUCCAGACUCCUACGGGAGGCAGCAGUGAGGAAUUUUGGACAAUGGGCGCAAGCCUGAUCCAGCCAUUCCGGGUGAGUGAAGAAGGCCUUCGGGUUGUAAAGCUCUUUCGCAAGGGAAGAAAACUUACCAUCGAAUAAAUGGUGAGGCUGACGGUACCUUGAUAAGAAGCACCGGCUAACUACGUG